AAUUGAUACCAUUGAGAUAAUUACUGAUAGGCAGUCUGGAAAGAAAAGAGGCUUUGGCUUUGUUACUUUUGAUGACCAUGAUCCUGUGGAUAAAAUCGUAUUGCAGAAAUACCAUACCAUCAAUGGUCAUAAUGCAGAAGUAAGAAAGGCUUUGUCUAGACAAGAAAUGCAGGAAGUUCAGAGUUCUAGGAGUGGAAGAGGAGGCAACUUUGGCUUUGGGGAUUCACGUGGUGGCGGUGGAAAUUUCGGACCAGGACCAGGAAGUAACUUUAGAGGAGGAUCUGAUGGAUAUGGCAGUGGACGUGGAUUUGGGGAUGGCUAUAAUGGGUAUGGAGGAGGACCUGGAGGUCAGUUUUCCUCUACGUUUUGGUUUGUUUAUGUGACUAAUACUUAACUAUAUCGUAUAUUUACUUCAUUUAUAUUUUGAGUUUUUAAACAUUUUAUAUUAGUGUCUAUAAAUGGCUUGGGUGAUAGUGGUCCAG
Molecule: long non-coding RNA, 482 nt
Filed under: Homo sapiens (human)
Lineage: Eukaryota; Metazoa; Chordata; Mammalia; Primates; Hominidae
Description: non-protein coding lnc-SKAP2-6:2
Source: RNAcentral